CUCAGAGUGGGGCAGGAAUUUUAGUUACAAACAAAAAGGUCACAGAAUUGAGAAGCGUACGGCAGCAAAUUACUGCAGAUGCUGGAACAUGGGGACAGUUCCACAGCCGAAUAAGGAAAGCCCAAGGUGGACAAUUUACAUCCCAGGUUGGACAAAGGGUCAUCACUGGCCUGAAAUGGUGCUAACAUCGGACGAAAAAUGCUGGCCUAGCCAGUGAC
Long non-coding RNA from Rhincodon typus (whale shark), 218 nucleotides. RefSeq lists it as uncharacterized. The transcript is spliced from 3 exons. NCBI's taxonomy places the organism in Eukaryota, Metazoa, Chordata, Chondrichthyes, Orectolobiformes, Rhincodontidae. The record is from RefSeq and is a predicted model, not a curated record.